AUGUACGAAACUAUAAAUGAGAAACAUACUGUGUGCAGUGCUCAUUAUCUCAUAUCGAUCAGCAUAUACACUAGCUCAUCAGGAAACAUGGCCACUGCCAGGAUCCAGCCGCUGUCCGCUGGCCAGCAGCAUGAAUCUGCCGGCGGCGAUCAGGAUCAGAAGAAGAUGGUGGUCUACACGGUGUGGAUGAAAUCGCUGGUGUUCAAUGGCCAUGGCUGCACCAUCUACGGCCAGAACGGUCGCGUGGCCUACCGCGUCGACAACUAUGCCUGCACCCGCAGCCGUGAGGUGUUCGUCAUGGACACCGCCGGCAAAGCACUCAUCAAGCUACACCUCAAGAAGAAUUUUGGCUUCUUCGAGACAUGGCAAGGCUACUUAUGCUGCAACGAUGACGACGACGACGACGACACCUCAAGCUUUCAACAGGAGCCAUGGUUCAGUGUUCGGAAGGAGCACAGGAUUCUGAACAAGGACGGCCGGCGGCACGGCAGUAGAGCCAUCGUCAGGGUCGCCGCCGAUGGCAAGGCGUACACUAUCGAUGGUGCUUCGCGCGGGUCCGAGUACUACAGGGUCAGCGACAGCGACGCAAGGGCGGUCAGGAGGAAGCGGACGGCGUCCGGGGUGGCGCUGGGAGAGGACGUCCUGACGCUGAUGAUGGGCCCCGCCGCGGAUCGCCUGCUCGUCGUUGGGCUCGUGGUCGUGUGUGGCCUGCUCAGCCGCUGCAUCUGA
Molecule: ribosomal RNA, 729 nt
Filed under: Triticum aestivum (bread wheat)
Lineage: Eukaryota; Viridiplantae; Streptophyta; Magnoliopsida; Poales; Poaceae
Description: partial small subunit ribosomal RNA
Source: RNAcentral